GCUGGGUGUGGUGGCGCGCACCUGUAGUCCCUGCUACUAGGGAGGCUGAGGCAGUAGAAUCGCUUGAACCCAGGAGAAGGAGGUUGCAGUGAGCCAAGAUUGCACCACUGCACUCCAGCCUGGGUGAUAGAGCGAGACUGUCUCAA
Molecule: non-coding RNA, 146 nt
Filed under: Gorilla gorilla gorilla (western lowland gorilla)
Lineage: Eukaryota; Metazoa; Chordata; Mammalia; Primates; Hominidae
Source: Rfam by way of RNAcentral